Molecule: non-coding RNA, 1384 nt
Organism: Miniopterus natalensis
Lineage: Eukaryota; Metazoa; Chordata; Mammalia; Chiroptera; Miniopteridae
Source: RefSeq, a predicted model, not a curated record
GGACCCCUCUGCGCCCAGGGCGCCCCUGCACCCCAGGAGCCCCACUCUGGCCUCCCCGGCUCAGUGCGCCCGAGCCUGGACUUUUGGGGGCUUCCUUCCCCCACUCCCUUCCACGGACCUUCGGUGACUUCCCGCCCUGUCCCGCCGCUCGGACGUGGCUCCUUUGGGGGUGGGGGUGGGGUAGGGAGCGCAGUAUAAAGGGCGGGAGACGGCGCGGGCCGAGACCUAGACGUGGCGCGUCCAGUGUGCCGGCCUCGGCUGCAGCUACAUCGAUAAACUGCCGCCUCAGAGGGGAACAGCAGGGAGAGGGCUGAAGAGAAUGUCACCUGGUGGAGAUGCAGAUGCUGCUGUGGUCAGAAGUGACCUUCAAGGGAAACCUCGAUACCUGUGACCUUUACAGUUCAUGAGAUUGUAUUAGUAUCGUGAAAUCAUGGUCUAUGGACACUUACAUCUUAACUGGGUUUUCCUACAAAUGAGUCAGGGGACACAUUACAAUUAUCCACAAGUGUUCCCUUUUUCUCCUGUUUUCCUUUUUUCAGAUCCAUGGCAUUUAAGAAUUUUAAAAAACCUGCUAAAUCCUCUGAUCAGCCCCAUUAGUUUUUUCUUAAAAUGGCUAAACAUCGAUAAAACGAUACAUAGUUUUAUGCCUCACUAAGAUUGCCUAGUGCUGGGUUUUGUUCAUAUACUGUUUGAAGUAUUUGAAAGACCCAUGAUAUGGCUAGAGAUAAUGCUGUGAUGUUCCCCAAAGUCUUGAUAAAAGAAGAAUUACCAAGUGGGGAGAGUUCAGGGAGACAUCAGCCCCAACUCAAGUAACUUGAGCUUCAUCGGUGUUCUUUGGGGUUCUUUUACCCAUGGAAAUGCUCACUCCCCAUUUAGCAGCCCACUCUCAUAGCAGAGGUAAGCAGGCCAGUUUUAUUCAAAAACAACAGCCAGACACUAAAACAGAAUAGAAAGAAAAUAGUUAUGGCACAUCUGAGAAUGAGCAUCAGUGGGCAUGGGACAAAGUGUGGGCUCUUAGACCUUAAACUGAAGGGCAAGGGCACCUGCCUGUCAGCCCUCUGCCCGUCUGUACACUGGAUACUCCAUCAGGCUCCCUUCUCUGAAAUCUGAGUUCCACCCAUACCCACCCAGGGCCUGCGUCCAGCUUCCCAUGUCUGCCAGGAGCAUGUUUUGCCCCUGCCAGUUGUUCCAUGGAGAGUGACACAGAGUGACCUGGCCAUUGUCCAACUCAGGUGAGCUUGCUCACUUUUGAGCUCUCUAGAACUCACUCCACCAGUGAAAACCACCUCUGGAAGUAUUUUGCCUUGUCUUUAUGGUUAAAUUUCUAGAUAUAUUUUUCUAGCAAGCAACCCAAUUCCCUUACAAUAAAAUUGUGCUCAAAACA